CACUGAAGGCCAUGGAAAUUAACAAGGUGCUUUUGGAUGUUAUCAGUUAACUGAAAUUUGUUAGUGGUUUUAGAGCUCUUUUUCGGUGCACAUUCAUGAUGAUGAAACAGGCAGUUUAACCAUAUUUUCUGAAGUAUUUCAGCAGUAUUAAUAGCAAGUGAAGCAAGAGUAAAAAUCUGAGGCCAUCAUGAUUCAAUAUUUCAAACCUAGUUUGAUCACUCUGCAGAAUUCACAAUGGCAUCUUUCAGCAAGAUUUCCAAUUUGCUUUGCUACCAUUGGACAAAAAAAGCACGGAUAUAGACAGCUCAUACAGAAAAUUGCUGGUUUAUACACAACUGUAAUGCGACAGAUUUUUGAACAGGGUUUUGUAUAGUAAACUCUAGUUGAGGCUUUAAUAUAAAUUACAGAAAAAAA
Molecule: long non-coding RNA, 414 nt
Organism: Anneissia japonica
Lineage: Eukaryota; Metazoa; Echinodermata; Crinoidea; Comatulida; Comatulidae
Exons: 2
Source: RefSeq, a predicted model, not a curated record